AGUUGGAAUUGGCACACAGAAUGUCUCUUGUAGAAACGAAGAUAAAAUGGAAAAUAGACGAGUAUAUAUAAUGUGUAACUGUCAUGCAAUCGAUGAUGACCGUUUCCAACAGUAAAUACGAUGACCUGAUAAAAGAGAAGAACGGGUAAAAAGAAAAGAGACGUACAUACGAGCAAGGUGAAACACUUUCGUGAUGAAAAGGCCCCGAGGAACAUGAGUUCUGCGAACAAGGAGAGGUUCUGAAGAGUGCAACGAUUUCUAUGUGGGCCACGAGAAAGUUACUAGCGCGUGUCGCUUUUUUUAUUCUUUUUCGAAAGAAAGAGAUAUUUGACCCUUUUGCACUUUCGCGGUCAAACAAAAUCGCGCGUGGACCUGCAGCCUCGAAUUCAUUUUCGCGACGAAAAUCAACCACCAUCAGAAUAGGAAGAAAAGAAUAAGAUCUAUUUUUAAUCCUUUCGCUGCUGAAGAAGAUUGUUAUUGCCCAAUGGAAAAUGUUCACAUUUUAAAAAUGCCAAUUAUUAAGAACAAGAGUAAUUAAUUUUCAAAUUUCAAAUUUCAAUCUUUCAAUCUGCAAUUUUACAUUAGUAAAGUGAUCCUUCAAAGGAGAAGUUCAAAAGUAUAGUACUCGAUCGGAUGCGCUACAUUGAAUUGCGGAAGUGCAGAACACCUGUGGCUGCCGGCGAUAUUGAAUAACAUAUUGAUAUUUAAAACCAACAUUGCAACUGGUUUGUGUACAUGUAUUAUGUGGGCUCUUCGUUUCAGUUGUAAUGUGAAUAUACGAAGAGAUUUUUAAGAAAGUUUAGAAGAAAGUGAAAGCACUUCUCUUAAAGUGAAAUGGACGUAUUGGAAAUUUAAGACAUGAUUAUAUUGGGAGAUAUGUGAAUUGAUUAGCUAUAGGAUAAUAAAUCCACUAUAAAAUUUGCUAGGAUAUAAAGAAAUUCAAAUAAAAUGUCCGAUUUCUUAAAAUAAAAAUAUAGUAAUUGCAAA
Long non-coding RNA from Osmia bicornis bicornis, 987 nucleotides. RefSeq lists it as uncharacterized. Lineage: Eukaryota; Metazoa; Arthropoda; Insecta; Hymenoptera; Megachilidae. The transcript has 2 exons. The record is from RefSeq and is a predicted model, not a curated record.